GAUGAACGCUGGCGGCGUGCCUAAUACAUGCAAGUCGAGCGAACAGAUGAGGAGCUUGCUCCCCUGACGUUAGCGGCGGACGGGUGAGUAACACGUGGAUAACCUACCUAUAAGACUGGGAUAACUUCGGGAAACCGGAGCUAAUACCGGAUAAUAUAUUGAACCGCAUGGUUCAAUAGUGAAAGACGGUUUUGCUGUCACUUAUAGAUGGAUCCGCGCCGCAUUAGCUAGUUGGUAAGGUAACGGCUUACCAAGGCAACGAUGCGUAGCCGACCUGAGAGGGUGAUCGGCCACACUGGAACUGAGACACGGUCCAGACUCCUACGGGAGGCAGCAAUAGGGAAUCUUCCGCAAUGGGCGAAAGCCUGACGGAGCAACGCCGCGUGAGUGAUGAAGGUCUUCGGACCGUAAAACUCUGUUAUUAGGGAAGAACAAAUGUGUAAGUAACUAUGCACGUCUUGACGGUACCUAAUCAGAAAGCCACGGCUAACUACGUG
This 497-nucleotide ribosomal RNA is filed under the name uncultured bacterium. RNAcentral's name for it is "partial 16S ribosomal RNA". It matches the Rfam family "Bacterial small subunit ribosomal RNA", at positions 28 to 507 of the family's 1533-position model. The record is from RNAcentral.